RNAcentral lists this ribosomal RNA (253 nucleotides) under uncultured bacterium. RNAcentral describes it as "partial 16S ribosomal RNA". It matches the Rfam family "Bacterial small subunit ribosomal RNA", at positions 524 to 776 of the family's 1533-position model. The record is from RNAcentral.
UACGGAGGGAGCUAGCGUUGUUCGGAAUUACUGGGCGUAAAGCGCGCGUAGGCGGCUUUGUAAGUCAGAGGUGAAAGCCCGGGGCUCAACUCCGGAAUUGCCUUUAAGACUGCAUCGCUAGAAUUGUGGAGAGGUAAGUGGAAUUCCGAGUGUAGAGGUGAAAUUCGUAGAUAUUCGGAAGAACACCAGUGGCGAAGGCGACUUACUGGACACAUAUUGACGCUGAGGUGCGAAAGCGUGGGGAGCGAACAGG